UGGCGCCAGAGUAAUGAGGCCGUAACGCCAU
This 31-nucleotide non-coding RNA is filed under the name Rattus norvegicus (Norway rat). Lineage: Eukaryota; Metazoa; Chordata; Mammalia; Rodentia; Muridae. The record is from RNAcentral.